Molecule: RNA transcript, 2482 nt
Organism: Musa acuminata AAA Group (dessert banana)
Lineage: Eukaryota; Viridiplantae; Streptophyta; Magnoliopsida; Zingiberales; Musaceae
Gene name: universal stress protein PHOS34
Exons: 7
Source: RefSeq, a predicted model, not a curated record
GUGACCUCCUUCCUCAACGUCGCGUUCCACCUUUAUUCCAGUCGACGCCUAUCGCGUCGCGAACCCAGUCGCAGACGAGCUGCUUCUAACCCUAGCUUUGAUCCUCCUCGCCAUGGACACGCAUCAGGCUCUGCCGGAUACCGAUCGCCAGGCGGCUCCGCCUCUGAGGACCCCCCAGCCCUCUCCCCCCCGCUUCAUCACCUCCGCUUCCGCGGGCUCCCACCGCCGGAUCGCUAUCGCCGUCGACCUCAGCGACGAGAGCGCCUACGCCGUGAGGUGGGCUGUCCAGAACUACCUCCGCCCCGGCGACGCCGUCAUCCUCCUCCACGUCCGCCCCACCAGCGUCCUCUACGGCGCUGACUGGGGAGCCGUCGAUCUCACCGUCUCCGUCUCCGUCGCCGCCGACGAUGACGACGCCGCGAACGGGCGUCCCGACUCGCACGAGUCGCAGCGGAAGAUGGAGGAGGACUUCGACGCCUUCACCACGACCAAGGCGCAGGACCUGGCGCAGCCCCUCGUGGAGGCGCAGAUCCCCUUCAAGAUACACAUCGUCAAGGACCACGACAUGAAGGAGCGACUGUGUCUGGAGGUGGAGAGGCUCGGCCCUAGCGCGGUUAUCAUGGGUAGCAGGGGAUUUGGAGCCGCCAGGAGCAUCAGCAAGAGCCGGCUCGGGAGCGUCAGCGAUUAUUGCGUGCAUCACUGCGUUUGCCCCGUUGUGGUGGUUCGUUACCCCGAUGAUGGGGCGGCUGCAGGACCUGCAACUGAUAAUGGAGAGGGCCCAAAGUCAGACGAGGUGGUGGAGAAACACGUGGUGCCGGAGGACGAACAAGAGUUCCACGAUGCUGCUGAGGAACAUAAAGAUGUCUGAGAAAUGCAUAGUAAUGGCAUAUCCAUCUUGUGAUUUAGGGAGUGAUAAGGAACACAAGCCAUGGCGGAAAGCCAACUCAUGUGUUUCUUCUGUUGCAGUGGUUGCUUCUGUUGUAUAGAAUUCCAGCGCGGUGGAUGGACUCGUGAUUGCCGGCAAAUCAAAUCCUACAUAUGCUGCCACGCUCGGCGGCCAGAAGUCAAGAGCACGGACCCUUCAAUUACCACAUCAUUAUCUCAGAAACAUGAACAUGAAAGAGGCAGAAACGUUGAAGCAAUCGAAGAGAAUUCAGCAAUGCAUACACAAUGUCAAACUAAAUAGAAGAGAUCACAGCCGUGAGGAUGUCUUUCGAGUUAGCUCGUGAAAUCGCUCUCUAUUGUUAGCAGCAGCCCUUCAACCUUCGACAUUCUUGUAUCGAUCUGCAUCCACCCCCAAAUCCAAAAAACACAAAAUGCAAUUUGGGAACAGGAAAAGAACUCACUUGGGUCGGAGGAAGACAGCAGCCGAGUCAUGAGAUCGACGUGGCCGUGGACGCGGACAUCGAGCAUGGCGCUGGCGGUGUCGGUGUCGGAGGCCGGCUCCGGGCGAAGGGCGGGCCUCUUGCGAUCCUUGGAGGAACGGAAGGCCGAGGCGCAGGAGCUGGCCUCGUCCUUCGCCGCUGCCGCCAUCGUGGCGCUCGCCGCUGGAGAUGGAGCCGGAGACGGCGGGAGGUAGCUCGGGAGAGACGACGAGCAGGCCAGGUCGUCCUGUGAUCGUUUGUUGGCCGUCAGAUACAAAAAGGAUCGGAGGUUGUGAAGUUUGGGGACAAGACAGCAAUGAAGCGGUUCAGAAUCAUUUGUCCAAAUCGUCGACGACGAGGUGAUAUAAAGGACAGAGUGGAAAGAAGAACAGCAACGGAUUUACCUGCGAGACGGAGAGGUCGGCAUUUCCCCGCAUCCGUUUCAGGAAGCCGCCGCCAUUCCCUAUCCGGCCUGGCUCCUCCUCGCCGUCGCUGCUGCUCGACGAGCUCGCAGCCGGAGGCGGUGUCAGAGACCAUGGCACCACCUGGUUCUCCCCUUCGUCGUCGUCGUCCUCCUCCUCUUCCUCUUCGUCCUCCUCACGAUCCCUUCUUCCGCCUUCUCCCUCUCCCUCCUCCUCGUCGCCGGCGCCACACCCCUCGCCACCGCCGCUGCCCUCGGCCGAGGACGAGGUGGUGGCGGCGCACCGCUCGCAGACUGAGAAGGUGGGGCGCAGCCUGGCGCCCUCCGCGCGCCACGGCGUGGGCGACUGGCAGCUCCGGCAGAGCAGGCACCUGGAGUGGCGCGCCACCAGGAAGUUGGCGCCGUGCACCUUGGCGUCGCACUCCCAGCAUAGGCUCGCCUCAUCCGACUCACAGUGGAUCCUCGCCGGCCGAACGCACAGCUCGCAUUGCUUCACCCUUGUUCCUCCUCUCGGUCGCAUCUUUCGCCCUUCCGAGUUCCUCCUCUCUUCUUCCCCUUCUCCUCUUUCUUGUCUUUUUCUCCUCUCUUCGCGUCGUAGCAAUAACAGUGUCAAACGGUACGGUUUUUUUACUUUUUCUAAGGAUGGAUUGUCGCUUUACCCUUCACUUUCUGUGAUCCGCCCACUCCGGUACGCUUA